RNAcentral lists this ribosomal RNA (374 nucleotides) under uncultured bacterium. Its description in RNAcentral is "bacterial SSU rRNA". It matches the Rfam family "Bacterial small subunit ribosomal RNA", at positions 28 to 390 of the family's 1533-position model. The record is from RNAcentral.
GAUGAACGCUAGCGGCAGGCUUAACACAUGCAAGUCGAGGGGCAACAGGGAACAAGCUUGCUUGUUCUGCUGGCGACCGGCGCACGGGUGAGUAACACGUAUGCAACCUGCCCGUCACAGGGGGAUAACCGGGGGAAACCCCGCCUAAUACCCCAUAUUAUAUAGUUAUUGCAUGAUGAUUAUAUGAAAACCUUGGUGGUGACGGAUGGGCAUGCGGUGCAUUAGCUAGUUGGUGAGGUAACGGCUCACCAAGGCGACGAUGCAUAGGGGUUCUGAGAGGAAGGUCCCCCACACUGGUACUAAAGGACACGGACCAGACUCCUACGGGAGGCAGCAGUGAGGAAUAUUGGUCAAGUGGUCGAGAGACUGAACCA